This 787-nucleotide ribosomal RNA is filed under the name uncultured bacterium. RNAcentral's name for it is "bacterial SSU rRNA". It matches the Rfam family "Bacterial small subunit ribosomal RNA", at positions 711 to 1498 of the family's 1533-position model. The record is from RNAcentral.
AGUGGCGAAGGCGGCUUGCUGGACUAAAACUGACGCUGAGGAACGAAAGCAUGGGUAGCAAACGGGAUUAGAUACCCCGGUAGUCCAUGCCGUAAACGAUGUCAACUAACUGUUGGGUACUUCGGUACUUAGUGGUGGAGCUAACGUAUUAAGUUGACCGCCUGGGGAGUACGGCCGCAAGGCUAAAACCCAAAUGAAUUGACGGGGGCCCGCACAAGCGGUGGAGCAUGUGGUUUAAUUCGAUGCAACGCGAAGAACCUUACCUACCCUUGACAUCCAGAGAAUCUGUUAGAGAUAAUUGAGUGCCUUCGGGAACUCUGAGACAGGUGCUGCAUGGCUGUCGUCAGCUCGUGUUGUGAAAUGUUGGGUUAAGUCCCGUAACGAGCGCAACCCUUAUCCUUAGUUGCCAGCACGUAAUGGUGGGAACUCUAGGGAGACUGCCGGUGAUAAACCGGAGGAAGGUGGGGACGACGUCAAGUCAUCAUGGCCCUUAUGGGUAGGGCUACACACGUGCUACAAUGGCCAGUACAGAGGGCUGCAAACUUGCGAGAGUAAGCAAAUCCCAGAAAGCUGGUCUUAGUCCGGAUUGGAGUCUGCAACUCGACUCCAUGAAGUUGGAAUCGCUAGUAAUCGCGAAUCAGAACGUCGCGGUGAAUACGUUCCCGGGCCUUGUACACACCGCCCGUCACACCAUGGGAGUGGGUUGCAAAAGAAGUGGGUAGACUAACCUUCGGGAGGUCGCUCACCACUUUGUGGUUCAUGACUGGGGUGAAGUCGUAACAAGGUA